GACGAACGCUGGCGGCGUGCUUAACACAUGCAAGUCGAACGGAAAGGCCCUGCUUUUGUGGGGUGCUCGAGUGGCGAACGGGUGAGUAACACGUGAGUAACCUGCCCUUGACUUUGGGAUAACUUAAGGAAACUGGGGCUAAUACCGGAUAGGAGCUCCUGCUGCAUGGUGGGGGUUGGAAAGUUUCGGCGGUUGGGGAUGGACUCGCGGCUUAUCAGCUUGUUGGUGGGGUAGUGGCUUACCAAGGCUUUGACGGGUAGCCGGCCUGGGAGGGUGACCGGCCACAUUGGGACUGAGAUACGGCCCAGACUCCUACGGGAGGCAGCAGUGGGGAAUAUUGCACAAUGGGCGGAAGCCUGAUGCAGCAACGCCGCGUGCGGGAUGACGGCCUUCGGGUUGUAAACCGCUUUCGCCUGUGACGAAGCGUGAGUGACGGUAAUGGGUAAAGAAGCACCGGCUAACUACGUG
RNAcentral lists this ribosomal RNA (468 nucleotides) under uncultured bacterium. RNAcentral describes it as "partial 16S ribosomal RNA". It matches the Rfam family "Bacterial small subunit ribosomal RNA", at positions 28 to 507 of the family's 1533-position model. The record is from RNAcentral.